GGGCACAUGGUGUAGUUGGUUAUCACGCCCGCUUAGCAUUUUCAAUGCGCUUGCGGGCGGUCCCCGGUUCAAUUCCGGGUGUGUCCA
This 87-nucleotide transfer RNA is filed under the name Hypsizygus marmoreus. It matches the Rfam family "tRNA". From Rfam's summary of the family: Transfer RNA (tRNA) molecules are approximately 80 nucleotides in length. Their secondary structure includes four short double-helical elements and three loops (D, anti-codon, and T loops). Lineage: Eukaryota; Fungi; Basidiomycota; Agaricomycetes; Agaricales; Lyophyllaceae. The record is from Rfam by way of RNAcentral.